Molecule: ribosomal RNA, 253 nt
Filed under: uncultured bacterium
Lineage: Bacteria
Description: partial 16S ribosomal RNA
Rfam family: Bacterial small subunit ribosomal RNA
Source: RNAcentral
UACGGAGGGUGCAAACGUUGCUCGGAAUCAUUGGGCGUAAAGCGCACGUAGGCGGCUCCUCAAGUCGGAUGUGAAAGCCCUGGGCUCAACUCAGGAAGUGCAUCCGAAACUGUGGAGCUUGAAUGCCGGAGGGGCCCAGAGAAUUCCCGGUGUAGAGGUGAAAUUCGUAAAUAUCGGAAGGAACAUCAGUGGCGAAGGCGGCUACCUGGACAACAACUGACACUGAGGCACGAAAGCGUGGGGAGCAAACAGG